RNAcentral lists this ribosomal RNA (567 nucleotides) under uncultured bacterium. RNAcentral describes it as "bacterial SSU rRNA". It matches the Rfam family "Bacterial small subunit ribosomal RNA", at positions 533 to 1099 of the family's 1533-position model. The record is from RNAcentral.
UGCGAGCGUUGUCCGGAAUUACUGGGCGUAAAGAGCUCGUAGGUGGUUUGUCGCGUUGUUCGUGAAAUCUCACGGCUUAACUGUGAGCGUGCGGGCGAUACGGGCAGACUUGAGUACUGCAGGGGAGACUGGAAUUCCUGGUGUAGCGGUGGAAUGCGCAGAUAUCAGGAGGAACACCGGUGGCGAAGGCGGGUCUCUGGGCAGUAACUGACGCUGAGGAGCGAAAGCGUGGGGAGCGAACAGGAUUAGAUACCCUGGUAGUCCACGCCGUAAACGGUGGGUACUAGGUGUGGGUUUCCUUCCUUGGGAUCCGUGCCGUAGCUAACGCAUUAAGUACCCCGCCUGGGGAGUACGGCCGCAAGGCUAAAACUCAAAGAAAUUGACGGGGGCCCGCACAAGCGGCGGAGCAUGUGGAUUAGUUCGAUGCAACGCGAAGAACCUUACCUGGGUUUGACAUGCACAGGACGCCGGCAGAGAUGUCGGUUCCCUUGUGGCCUGUGUGCAGGUGGUGCAUGGCUGUCGUCAGCUCGUGUCGUGAGAUGUUGGGUUAAGUCCCGCAACGAGCGC